UUUUUAAAUUUUUUACUUUUGCACAUCAGUUUACUCAGGAGCUUGUUUGUGCCUUGCACCUAUGCCCUAGAACUCCUUGGCGCUUUAACGUCUCUUGAGCCUUUAAUAGCUAUGGGUAGAUGCAAGAUUCGAGAUCUAUGAAUCAUAUUUAGAGGCUUGCUACUUUAUCGGGAGAUAACCCUUAGUACAACUAUUUCAGUAUAUACAUCAACAGUCAAACCAUAAGUUUCAUGAAUGACGCAUAAUGUAGAGCAAAAAAUCAAACUAUGAGUCUCAUAAUAUUGAAGAAUAAUCUUCGAGAGCACGUUGCAGCAUCAAAAUCAAUGAUUUCAUAUUGCUAUUUUUAUUUGUUAGCUAGAUCAUGCUUUUUUAUUUAAUGCAUGGAAAUACCUUUAAUUUGGCUGUUUUAAUUUAAUUUUUUUUAAUUUAAAAAAACAGGUAGAAGAAAAAUGAAAGCUACAGAAGACAACGUGCAGAAAUUGCAUAAAAAUACUAUCUCAGAAUCAGAAGCUAAUUGCAGAGACAUGAUCUUCUUUGCUUUGUCUGCAAAAUUAUUAAAAACAAUGUUAUUUACAGUCACCCCAUUUCAUUGGAAGAUACCAAACAGACCCUAUCAAGAUUUUUCAUUAUAAACUAUAAUUUCUAUGGUUUAUAAGAUGAGUUGUUCUAUUCUGUAUAGAAGGAACGAAGCAAGUAUAAAACAAUUUAAU
This 710-nucleotide unclassified non-coding RNA is filed under the name Hevea brasiliensis (rubber tree). Lineage: Eukaryota; Viridiplantae; Streptophyta; Magnoliopsida; Malpighiales; Euphorbiaceae. The record is from RNAcentral.